RNAcentral lists this ribosomal RNA (253 nucleotides) under uncultured bacterium. Its description in RNAcentral is "partial 16S ribosomal RNA". It matches the Rfam family "Bacterial small subunit ribosomal RNA", at positions 524 to 776 of the family's 1533-position model. The record is from RNAcentral.
UACGUAGGUGGCAAGCGUUAUCCGGAAUUAUUGGGCGUAAAGAGCGCGCAGGUGGUUAAUUAAGUCUGAUGUGAAAGCCCACGGCUUAACCGUGGAGGGUCAUUGGAAACUGGUUGACUUGAGUGCAGAAGAGGGAAGUGGAAUUCCAUGUGUAGCGGUGAAAUGCGUAGAGAUAUAGAGGAACACCAGUGGCGAAGGCGGCUUCCUGGUCUGCAACUGACACUGAGGCGCGAAAGCGUGGGGAGCAAACAGG